Papaver somniferum (opium poppy) is the source of this 2540-nucleotide long non-coding RNA. RefSeq lists it as uncharacterized. The record is from RefSeq and is a predicted model, not a curated record. NCBI's taxonomy places the organism in Eukaryota, Viridiplantae, Streptophyta, Magnoliopsida, Ranunculales, Papaveraceae. The transcript has 2 exons.
ACAUUGAAGAGAAGAAGUGGACUUGAGAAGUAAAAGAUGGCUGCUGUUGGUGAAAGAAUUCAAAGGAGAAGAAAGCGUUCAUUUAGAGCGAAAAUGAGCAAAAAGACCAAUUCACAGGCGAGCGAAACUAGCUAAGUUUGAGCAAGAAGAAAUAGGCGCAAAACGGCAAAAUAGUCAUUCCAUAAGCGGGUGAUACAUGGAGCCUAGGCGUGGAUAAGGGACAACCAGCUAAGUCCUCAUAGAAGUGUGAUGGCAGACAAUUUACUUUCUCAGGGUUAUCACUUCCGGUGGACUAUAUGGAGCAGUGGGUGCCUCGAGUAAAUCCAAUUGUUACCAAAACUCUAUUUUGAGAGAAACAUUUCUCUCAUCAUCAUCCUGUUAUGAAAUUAAGAGAGGUGAAGAAAGAGAGGCGCCGUUAUCUGAAACCAUUUCAGGUUCUUUCCGAAAAGUGAAAUUUGAGAGACAGUGAUUUAAUGGGCUAUGAAGGGUGAAGAUCUAAUAACUCAGAUCUAGAACCAGAGAUGAAAAAGGAGCAGUUGGAGUUAGGGUUUGCUGAAAAUGGAGAAAUUGAAGCGCUGUAAUGAAUUACUGAGUUGGGUUGAGCUCGAUUUGAGAUAUUGAUGUUCCUGCUACCAAGAAUUGAAAAGGAAUGGCAGGUCAGAUCUGUGGUUCAGGUGGGAUUUUGAGCUGAAAUUCAGGUGGAAAGAAGCUGUUGACAUGGCAUUUAUUGGAUGUUUGUGUGAAUCUGUGACUCGAAUUAGUGUGGUGGUUGCAGCUCCAGAUUGCAAGCUGAUUUGCGUUCGAAAUAGUGAACAUCUAAUGGAGUUUGAAGACCAACUGGACCAGAGAAGAUGAUGAUGCUUUUGUUGAUAAUGGGGACCGAAUGUGAGGGUUUAUGAAUGUAUGAUGAUAUCUAUAAACAUCACAGCGUACUCAUCUCCAGCACCACCAGGUCGUGCACACAACUUUUUCAGGUAAUUGCUUGAAUGAACUUUUCAUUAUCACUUCAAGCUAAUUAAAUCUGGGGAUACAAGGGUUUGUUUGAAUGGGUAUUUCACAUGAGUUUUGGUGGCUGUAUGUUGAAGAUUUGGUGGACUUCCAAAACGAACUUAGUUGAGAAGAGAAUAAGAAGACAAAGGAACUUAGCAAGGGGAUGAUUAUGUACAAAAUUGGUGUCGUCUGAGUUCUUGAAGGAAGCUACAGCUACAGGCAGAGUAGAGGUGCAACUGGUGCAAGUGAUAUGCAGCUACAGGUGGUGUGUGAGAUGGAGUUCUGGAUGGAUGUUGUGCGGCCGAAGUGCUGAACGGAGAGCAAUGAUGGUGUUUUAAAGAUGAAAACAGCAGGAGUUGGUUUGCAGGCAUGUGUAGCUGCAAGUUGAAGUGAUUUUGUUGGCCUAAAAAGAGAAUGGCAGCUGAGCUGCAAGUGCUGGUUGCAGUGCAACUGGUGCUGGUGGGUUGUGUUGUAGGAAUGGAGUAAGAAUGGCUAGGUCAUGAUGGAGCAAAUGAUGUUGCAGCUGUAAUCUGGUGGUAUGGAUGUAAAGAAGUUUGAGACAUUACAAGUGAUACUUGUGGUAUGGGAGCAGAAGACGAUGAUUAUCAUGGUUUUGGUACAAAGAUCAUAGUGGAAGGAGAACACAACAAAUAAAACAAGGCCGAGCUCGAAUUGCAGGUGCAGAACACGAAAUACAAGAGAUGGGUUCAUGAGAAAGGAAGAUGCAGCAAAGGUAGUGAUUGCACAGGUUCUGAUGAGUUCCAAGGCUGAGAAGAACGAGGAUAUGAUGCUGCCAAAGGUGAAAUCAGUUCGGUUUGAUAUUGGAGUUUUGAAGACUUCUGCUGUUACAGAUGAAUGUAACUGGUGGUGUUAACUGUUGUCAUCAGUUGAGAACAACAACAACAUGGUUUGGAGAUUGAGGCUGUAAAUGACAGAACCGGUGAUGGAGACAAUGAAGUUGCAGUCGGUGGUGCCCGAGGUGAAUAUACUGAUGGUCCUGGUGGUGUUUCAUGAUGAAGUGGUCUACUAAUGAAGCUGUAUGGUGUUUACAGUGAAGAAUUAAGUAGUAACACCUGUUUGGUUGUUUGCUGAUGCAAGGAUGGUGCUGCGUGUGAUGCAUUGCAAGUGGUUGAAGCUGAAGUGAGCAUUUAGAUGUAUGCUAGGAAUGUUACAGGGAAUGAGAUAUGAAAUGGCCUGAAUUUGGCCAGGAAAUUGUCCUAAAACAGACGGAAUUCUGCCGGAAAUUAAUUCUGCUGAGUUCACUCAAUGAUCCGAUCUGACUCAGCUGACCCAGUUCGACUCGGAUGGACUUGGAUCUGUCUUGAUUGGGCUUCACUUAUGGGAUAUUUAAAGGACUGGAUUUUGGCAAAGGGUGCGACCUAAAAUUUGGAUUCAGAAAUCGACAAGGCAGAGAGUAUAUAAAAGGGAUAUCUCUUUACACAUAUUUUAUCUCUUCUUCUACUUUUGUUCUAAGGUUUAGACAUGAAAACCUUUCUUUUUCUUCUUGUUAUGAACUCCUUGCAUGAGUAGUUAAUUUUAUUAUUGGUUUC